GAUGAACGCUGGCGGCGUGCCUAAUACAUGCAAGUCGAGCGAACAGACGAGGAGCUUGCUCCUCUGACGUUAGCGGCGGACGGGUGAGUAACACGUGGAUAACCUACCUAUAAGACUGGGAUAACUUCGGGACACCGGAGCUAAUACCGGAUAAUAUAUUGAACCGCAUGGUUCAAUAGUGAAAGACGGUUUUGCUGUCACUUAUAGAUGGAUCCGCGCCGCAUUAGCUAGUUGGUAAGGUAACGGCUUACCAAGGCGACGAUGCGUAGCCGAACUGAGAGGGUGAUCGGCCACACUGGAACGGAGACACGGUCCAGACUCCUACGGGAGGCAGCAGUAGGGAAUCUUCCGCAAUGGGCGAAAGCCUGACGGAGCAACGCCGCGUGAGUGAUGAAGGUCUUCGGAUCGUAAAACUCUGUUAUUAGGGAAGAACAAAUGUGUAAGUAACUAUGCACGUCUUGACGGUACCUAAUAAGAAAGCCACGGCUAACUACGUG
This 497-nucleotide ribosomal RNA is filed under the name uncultured bacterium. RNAcentral describes it as "partial 16S ribosomal RNA". It matches the Rfam family "Bacterial small subunit ribosomal RNA", at positions 28 to 507 of the family's 1533-position model. The record is from RNAcentral.